CCUACGGGAGGCAGCAGUCGAGAAUCAUUCACAAUGGGGGAAACCCUGAUGGUGCGACGCCGCGUGGGGGAAUGAAGGUCUUCGUAUUGUAAACCCCUGUCAUGUGGGAGCAAAUUAAAAAGAUAGUACCACAAGAGGAAGAGACGGCUAACUCUGUGCCAGCAGCCGCGGUAAUACAGAGGUCUCAAGCGUUGUUCGGAAUCACUGGGCGUAAAGCGUGCGUAGGCUGUUUCGUAAGUCGUGUGUGAAAGGCGCGGGCUCAACCCGCGGACGGCACAUGAUACUGCGAGACUAGAGUAAUGGAGGGGGAACCGGAAUUCUCGGUGUAGCAGUGAAAUGCGGAGAUAUCGAGAGGAACACUCGUGGCGAAGGCGGGUUCCUGGACAUUAACUGACGCUGAGGCACGAAGGCCAGGGGAGCGAAAGGGAUUAGAUACCCCAGUAGUC
Molecule: ribosomal RNA, 446 nt
Filed under: uncultured bacterium
Lineage: Bacteria
Description: partial 16S ribosomal RNA
Rfam family: Bacterial small subunit ribosomal RNA
Source: RNAcentral